CUUUUUAAAAACUAAUCAAAAGAAAAUUUCUCCCCCCUGUCUUUAGAAAGAGAAAAAAUAUUAUUCAGUGAGAUAUUUCAGUUUAAAGUUUUUACUGUUUUCUACAAUUAUAUUUAAAUUUCUGUGAACAGAUCACUGAGUAACUAAAGCUGAUGCUUGAAAAAGUGACCUCGCUCCUUCCAAUUCCCAGUGACAGCUCUCCAGCAAAUACCAUCAUGUCCAACUUUACAUGGCUUCCCUUCAUCUUCAGUUGCUACCAAUAGCAACAAGGGAGGUUAAUCUUUCUGGCCGUCUGCAGCUGUGAACUGACUCAGCGUUUGCAUUUCCUGAUGAUAGGCUGAUAAAAGUGGCAUAAAUCAUCCUCUUGAGAACUGUGUAUAAAUACAUCUUGUCAAACGCAGGAGUUUCGGGAAGACUCAGAAUUAGACACCCCAGACCUCUCUGGAGUCUUACACUGGCUCUCCAUUACAGCAUUGGAUAAUCCUUUAUACUCCACAUGAGGUUGUGUGUGUAUACAGAAGAAUCAAAUGUCUCAGCUCAAGCCCUUGAACUUCUGAUACUGUUUUACCUUGCUGGAUCUGUUUCAAGAUUAAAAUGCAAAGACCGUCAGCUUUUCAACAGGAAUAGGCUUCAAGUUUUACUCAGAGAACACACUAACAAGAUGAUUUACCUUCUGCCCUAA
RNAcentral lists this long non-coding RNA (682 nucleotides) under Anas platyrhynchos platyrhynchos (common mallard). RNAcentral's name for it is "lncRNA (ENSAPLG00000025051.1)". The record is from RNAcentral. Lineage: Eukaryota; Metazoa; Chordata; Aves; Anseriformes; Anatidae.